AGUGAACGCUGGCGGUAGGCCUAACACAUGCAAGUCGAACGGCAGCACAGUAAGAGCUUGCUCUUACGGGUGGCGAGUGGCGGACGGGUGAGGAAUACAUCGGAAUCUACUUUUUCGUGGGGGAUAACGUAGGGAAACUUACGCUAAUACCGCAUACGACCUACGGGUGAAAGCAGGGGAUCUUCGGACCUUGCGCGAUUGAAUGAGCCGAUGUCGGAUUAGCUAGUUGGCGGGGUAAAGGCCCACCAAGGCGACGAUCCGUAGCUGGUCUGAGAGGAUGAAACGGCACACUUGGAGAGGAGGACGGGCCAGACUCCCAACGGGAGGAGGCGUGGGGGAAUAUUGGAGAAGGGGGGCAAGCCUGUUCCGGCAAGGCCGCGGGGUUGAAGAAGCCCUUCGGGUGGUAAGGCCAUUUUGUUGGGAAAAAAAACCGCCAGUUUAAUACCCGGCUGUUUGACGGUAACCAAAGAAUAAGCAACGGCUAACUUUGUG
RNAcentral lists this ribosomal RNA (492 nucleotides) under uncultured bacterium. RNAcentral's name for it is "partial 16S ribosomal RNA". It matches the Rfam family "Bacterial small subunit ribosomal RNA", at positions 29 to 507 of the family's 1533-position model. The record is from RNAcentral.